This 490-nucleotide ribosomal RNA is filed under the name Gramastacus sp. 1-DM-2003. Its description in RNAcentral is "partial 16S ribosomal RNA". It matches the Rfam family "Archaeal large subunit ribosomal RNA", at positions 1943 to 2670 of the family's 2987-position model. The record is from RNAcentral. Lineage: Eukaryota; Metazoa; Arthropoda; Malacostraca; Decapoda; Parastacidae.
AGUCUGGCCUGCCCAUUGGGAACUAAAAGGCCGCGGUAUUUUGACCGUGCGAAGGUAGCAUAAUCAUUAGUCUUUUAAUUGAAGGCUUGUAUGAAGGGUUAGACGAGAAAUUAGCUGUCUUUAUUAGAAAAAUGGAAUUUAACUUUUAAGUGAGAGGGCUUAAAUGUUCUAAAGGGACGAUAAGACCCUAUAAAGUUUGAUAUUUAAUUUUUUAAAAAAUAAGAUAAAUAGAUAAAGUUAAUUAGAAAAAAGAUGUUUUGUUGGGGCGACAAGAAUAUAAUUUAUAUAACUGUUUUUAUAUUAAUACAAUAAUGAUUGAAUUAGUGAACCUUUAUAAAGGUAAUAGAGUAAAUUACUUUAGGGAUAACAGCGUAAUUUUUUUUGAGAGUUCUUAUCGACAAAAAAGUUUGCGACCUCGAUGUUGAAUUAAAGGUUCUUUGUAACGUAGAAGUUACAUGAGAAGGUCUGUUCGACCUUUAAAUCUUUACAU